AAACAAAAACAAACGCCCGUGAGGCCGUCCCGGCGCGGGGUGCUGCCCGCCGGCUGGGCUGGGGCGCGGGUCUCGGCAGCGAGGCCGUAGUGGCAGCAAACGCCAAUAAAGAACGAUGUUGACCUGCAGCUUACACAAGCACAGUUUGGUAAUUAACGUGUGCCGUUCGCUGUUUUGUCGCUGUUGAUAUCGUAUGUAUUCAUCCUGAUUUUCCCACUUUACCGCUCAGUGCUUUCUGUGUUCUCCUCGGAGCGAGGAGCAGUUUUUGGGGCAUUGUUUGACUGAACUUCGGAACUCGCUGCUGCAUUUUUCAAAGUCUGCUUCGUUACAGAAAACUGUGCAAAGACGGCGUGUCAACACAAAAUCAGCUCUUCACGUGUGAUGUCAGACAUAUUGUCACUUUUCAAAAGCAACGCUCUCCCCUGGCUUGCAUUUUAUAUGGUUGUCUGCUCGUGUAAAGCGAGAAGCAUUCUGGUUUAGCACCGUGUUACCCCUGCGUUUUGUAGCUGCAUGUGGCAGCAGAAUAAUGUCCCGCUGGAGAAUUUGACUCAUAAACUUCAGUUUCCCUCUGCAAGUGAUGCUGGUACAAAGCUUUGCUCACAAGAGCACGUAGGUUCUGGUUCUGCAGACAUAUGCAGUGUUUAACACAUGGCAAGUCCCACCGUGUAGUGUCGUGUGUUUAAAUGCUAACAAGGCUGGGUCCCGUGUCGCCUUGUUUUUCCUAGAGACACAAAAAUAGUUUUGUAUUGGCAUGAGAGAUAAAAAUACUAUAUUCAGAAGGACUCGGAUAAAAAUAAGUCAUGCAGCAUUUGUAAUGCUUUACUUAGCACUCUGCACACCCAUUAUGUCACUGCAUUCAAAGUGUGCAUCCUCUGUUGUUUACAAACUACGCUGCACAAGAUGCAGCUCCAGGAGCACUGACAGUACGAACAGCACACACUGAGUCAGUGGCUGUGACAGCUAAGAAGGAGACAUUGUCGUGGUGCACGAUAUCAAAGAUUCGCAGUGUAAUAUCUCCACAGCAUGGCUUGACGCAACAUGAAAAGCUUCACAAAGGAACAUUUGCCAUGCACAGAGCGUCAGAUCUCUGGUAUGAUAUUUU
Molecule: long non-coding RNA, 1102 nt
Filed under: Phasianus colchicus (ring-necked pheasant)
Lineage: Eukaryota; Metazoa; Chordata; Aves; Galliformes; Phasianidae
Description: lncRNA (ENSPCLG00000015599.1)
Source: RNAcentral